CCACCAAGUGGGACUAUAUCUAGCUACUGGUUUUCUUUAGAGAUAGGUGGAUCUGGUUUGAAUCCCACCGUUAGAGAACUUUCUCUGGACUGCGUACUUCUUUCCUCCUCCAGCUUCAGGGCCCUGUAACAGCACCCAGAAUGCCAAUAGGACCUGAGUGUCCCGUGGGUCCCGGAGGUGGAUCUGCGCCGGAACUCCAGUGGCUUCCCCAAGCAGGUUGCUGUUUCCUUCCCGGAAGAAGGGACCCAACCGACCUGACUUUCCAGGCAAAAUGGAGUUGGUAGAUGAAGAGGGGGGGAGCUGCCUCAGGACAAGCAAGAGCAAGCUUGCUUCCAGGGCCUUCCGACUCCAGGUGUUUUACAACCAUCCUUUUGCUCUUCUUGGCAUCACCUUUGUCCUGUGGGUACCCUGAGUUCAGCGUCUGCCAGGCUGCACUCCUGCGGGUCCAGAAUGAUAAGUUAUCACUCUCUCCCCCCAUUUCACUGGGAUUCCAGCCUUCAAGUCUAGGCUGUCUUCUCACUCCUCUUUACCCAGUUGUUGGCUGAAUUCCAUCGCCUUCCCCCUCAGGGUUCCUUCCAGCCCCAGGCCGAGUUGCACUAGGGUCUUUACAGUAGCAGUAAACGCCUCUCUUUCUCUGCUCACGCAGGAGCUACAUGGCCGACGUUUCUGGGGGUGUCAGCCCGUCAUCAAAGCUGCCCAUUCGUUUCAUCUGCAUCUGUCAGUACCCGCGUCCUUCUGUCCCUGUAUCAGCUGCCUCACGUGACUCACCUUCACCACUAAAAUAUUAUUAUUUCUAUCCUAAUUAUUCCACAUCUCAAGUUGAAAUCCAGGUUGCACUCUAGGCUUUCAGGGUGUUCACAUCUGUGUGUGUGUGUUAUACACGUGUGGAGAUAGGAGGCUGAACUUGAGGUGUCUUUCUUCACCUUCCACCUUGUUUGAGAUGGACUCUCUUUACUACUGCCUCCAUCACCUCUAGACUGCCCAGUCUCUGCCUGGUCCAGCAGUGGUGCUUGGACACAGUGCUUGCCCGCCUACAUCAGGCUUUUCGGGACUCCUUGGGAUCUGAACUUAGGCUGUCAGACUCACCCAGCGAGUGCUUUACCCAGUGCACUAUCUCUGGGCCCAGGAGUUUUGAUUCUUGCCCCUGGUCUCUGCUCAUCUAAAUGACAAACAGUUCUCUGAUAUGCUAAAAAUUAAAUGUGUAUUUUUAAUUAACUUUAUUUACAUAUAAUAAGAUGCAUCCAUUUUAAUGUAGUUUGAUGGGUUUAAGAAAUGUAUAUACCCAUGCGCCUAUUAUCUGAGUCGGCACAUAGGAUAUUCCCAUCACUUGUCCAGAAUUCCCUGUGUCCUUUGUCAGCUUCCUCCGCCAUUGGACCCAAGCGAUCAGUCUGGUUUCUGGCGACAGAGUGACUUUCUCCCGUAGGUUUAUGUAAAUAGGUUCAUUUGGUAGCUCUCUUCUUGUUUAAAAACAAUUAAAUAAAAAUAUUUUAUUUUAUGUAUACAGAUGUUUUUCCUGCAUGUAUGUCUGUGCACUUGUGUGCUUGGUGUCUGCAGAGGCUAGA
This is a long non-coding RNA of Alexandromys fortis (reed vole), 1562 nucleotides long. RefSeq lists it as uncharacterized. The transcript is spliced from 3 exons. Lineage: Eukaryota; Metazoa; Chordata; Mammalia; Rodentia; Cricetidae. The record is from RefSeq and is a predicted model, not a curated record.